RNAcentral lists this transfer RNA (74 nucleotides) under Methanobacteriota archaeon. RNAcentral's name for it is "Euryarchaeota archaeon tRNA-Lys". It matches the Rfam family "tRNA". From Rfam's summary of the family: Transfer RNA (tRNA) molecules are approximately 80 nucleotides in length. Their secondary structure includes four short double-helical elements and three loops (D, anti-codon, and T loops). Further hydrogen bonds mediate the characteristic L-shaped molecular structure. tRNAs have two regions of fundamental functional importance: the anti-codon, which is responsible for specific mRNA codon recognition, and the 3' end, to which the tRNAs corresponding amino acid is attached (by aminoacyl-tRNA synthetases). tRNAs cope with the degeneracy of the genetic code in two manners: having more than one tRNA (with a specific anti-codon) for a particular amino acid; and 'wobble' base-pairing, i.e. permitting non-standard base-pairing at the 3rd anti-codon position. The record is from RNAcentral. Lineage: Archaea; Methanobacteriati; Methanobacteriota.
GGGCUUGUAGCUUAGCUAGGUAGAGCGUCGGGCUUUUAACCNGAUGGCCAGGGGUUCGAAUCCCCUCAGGCCCG